AGCCCGAGUAAACGGCGGCCGUAACUAUAACGGUCCUAAGGUAGCGAAAUUCCUUGUCGGUUAAAUACCGACCUGCAUGAAUGGCGUAACGAGAUGGGAGCUGUCUCAACCAGAGAUUCAGUGAAAUUGUAGUGGAGGUGAAAAUUCCUCCUACCCGCGGCAAGACGGAAAGACCCCGUGA
This 181-nucleotide ribosomal RNA is filed under the name Helicobacter pylori. Its description in RNAcentral is "partial 23S ribosomal RNA". It matches the Rfam family "Bacterial large subunit ribosomal RNA", at positions 1916 to 2096 of the family's 2925-position model. Lineage: Bacteria; Pseudomonadati; Campylobacterota; Epsilonproteobacteria; Campylobacterales; Helicobacteraceae. The record is from RNAcentral.